GGUGAACGCUGGCGGCGUGCCUAACACAUGCAAGUCGAGCGAGGUUACUGUUUUGGAUCCCUUCGGGGUGAAGAAGCUUUAACCUAGCGGCGGACGGGUGAGUAACGCGUGGGUAACCUACCCCAAAGUCCGGGAUAACAGCGGGAAACCGCUGCUAAUACCGGAUGCCUUUACCUUGGGGCAUCUUGAGGUAAAGAAAGGCAACGCUUUGGGAUGGGCCCGCGUCCCAUUAGCUAGUUGGUGAGGUAACGGCUCACCAAGGCGACGAUGGGUAGCCGGCCUGAGAGGGUGGACGGCCACACUGGGACUGAGACACGGCCCAGACUCCUACGGGAGGCAGCAGUAGGGAAUAUUGCGCAAUGGACGGAAGUCUGACGCAGCGACGCCGCGUGAGCGAUGAAGGUCUUCGGAUCGUAAAGCUCUGUCCUUGGGGAAGAAGGCGAAAGCUUGACGGUACCCAAGAAGAAAGCCCCGGCUAACUACGUG
RNAcentral lists this ribosomal RNA (486 nucleotides) under uncultured bacterium. Its description in RNAcentral is "bacterial SSU rRNA". It matches the Rfam family "Bacterial small subunit ribosomal RNA", at positions 28 to 507 of the family's 1533-position model. The record is from RNAcentral.